Lonchura striata (white-rumped munia) is the source of this 189-nucleotide non-coding RNA. The record is from RefSeq and is a predicted model, not a curated record. Lineage: Eukaryota; Metazoa; Chordata; Aves; Passeriformes; Estrildidae.
CAGAUGUGUGGACUGUGCCUGACUAGAGAAUGGUGUAGCAGCCUUGGUGCUCCACAGCAUAUUGCACAGCUCUUUCCAAAACCCAUCAGGAAUAUUUGGAUUUCCAUCCACGCUCGACUGUGGGUGCAAACCCAGGAUCCUCAACACUGUGACAAGAUUUAUCUUCAUUACUUACCUGAUGCAGUGGGC